Molecule: long non-coding RNA, 1695 nt
Filed under: Homo sapiens (human)
Lineage: Eukaryota; Metazoa; Chordata; Mammalia; Primates; Hominidae
Description: HSALNT0084354
Source: RNAcentral
AAGAAAUUGUAUCACUGCAAGAAGAAAAUAGAUAAUGAGGACCAUCUAUGCCAUCUUGGACUCACUCUGUUCUUCCUGACACAACUACAGUGAGAUGAAGGAAAGAGACAGGAUCAUCUUCAAGGAAGCACCAAGGGAGGUGUUCAUGAGCAGAUGCCAUCAGAAUGGAUCCAAAUGCAAGCAUGCCAGGAGGAUGAGCCUUGUUUUCCCUCCAGUAGAAAGAAGAAGAAACUUUGCAACUUAGAAGAAACAUUCUGCAGCUUAGAAAAACAGAAAUGUAAGGGCAUGCAGCUAUGAAAUACAAGCAUACUUCCAUAAUACUGUGCAUUAAAUUCUAGACCACCAAAAUACAAGAAUAUUGCAAUAAGGCCAGUCACACUAAUUUGUUGGUUUUCCAGUACAUAUAAAAGUUAUGUUGAUACUAAACUGUGGUCUAUUAAGUGUGCAAUAGCACUAUGUCUUAAAAAAAGAUAUACAUACUUUAAUUGAAAAUACUUUAUUACCAAAAAAUGCUAAUGAUCAUCUGAGCUUUCAAUGAGUCAUAAUCUUUUUGUUGGUGUAGGGUCUUGCUUCAAUGUUGAUGGCUGCUGACUGAUCAGGCUGGUGGUUGAUGAAGGUUGGGUGGCUGUGGCAAUUUCUUAAAAUAAGACAGCAAUCAAUUUUGUGCAUUGAUGAACUCUUCCUUUCACAAAAGACCUCUCUGUAGCAUGUGAUGCUGUCUGACAGCAUUUUACCCCCAGUAGAACUUUCAAAACUGGAGUCAGUCCUCUCAAACCGUGCCACUACUUUAUUAACUAAGUUUAUGAAAUGUUCUGAAUCCUUUGUUGUCAUUUCAACAAUGUUCACAACUUCUUUACCAGGAGUAGUUUCCAUCUGAAGAAAUUAUUUGCUCAUCUGUAAGAAGCACUUCCUCAUUUCUUAAAAACAUCAUCAUAAGAUGACAGCAAUUCAGUCUCAUCUUCAGGCUCUACUUCUAAUUAUAAUUCUCAUUCUAUUUCCACCACAUCUCCGGCUAUUUCCUCCACUGAGGUCUUGAACCCCUCCAAGUCAUCAGGAGGUUUGGAGUCAAAUUCUUUUACACUCCUGUUAUUGUUGGUGUUUUUUUUUUAACCUCCUUCCAUGAAUCACUUCUUAGUGGUAUCUAAAAUGGUGAAUCCUUUCCAGAAAGUUUUCAAUUUACUUUGCUCAGGUACAUCAGAGAAAUCACUGUCUAUGGCAGCUGUAGCCUUAUGAAAAGUAUUUUAUAAAUAAUGAGACUUGGAUGUCAAAAUUACUUCUUGAUCCAUGUGUUGUAAAAUGAAUGUUGUAUUGGCGGGCAUGAAAACAGCAUAGAUUUCCUUGUACAUUUCCAUCAAAGCUCUUAGGUAACUACUCUUAGGUAACUAGAUGCAUUGUCAAUGAGCAGUACUAUUUUUUAAAAACGAUUUUUUUCUGAGCAAUAGGUCUCAUUCAUUUUUUAUGGCUGAGUAGUAUUCCAUAGUGUGUGUGUGUGUGUGUGUGUGUAUAUUAUAUAUAUAUAUAUAUAUAUAUAUACACAAAUGUUCUUUAUCCACUCAUUCAUCGAUGGGCAUUUAGACUGGUUCCAUAUUUUUGUAAUUGCAAAUUGUGCUGCUAUAAACAUGCAUGUGCAAGUGUCUUUUUCAUAUAAUGACUUCUUUUCCUCUGGGUAGAUACCCGGGAGUGGGAUUGCUGGAU